CCAGAGCUCUAAGCGUUAGUAACUUCAAGCAAAUUACCACAUAACAAUUCUCAUGUUUAAACAUGGAAGCACAGGAGUUCCCGUCAUAGCUCAGUGGUUAACGAAUCCGACUAGGAACCAUGAGGACACGGGUUCAAUCCCUGGCCUCGCUCAGUGGGUUAAGGAUCCAGCAUUGCUGUGGCUCUGGUGUAGGCCAUGGCUAUAGCUCCAAUUAGUCCCCUAGCUUGGGAACCUCCAUAUGCUGUGGGUGUGGCCCUCAAAAAGACAAAAAAAAAAAAAAUUAAGAAAUAAACACGGAAGCAUAAAACGAGAAUGUGGGUCACGGUCACCAUGCGAUUCCGUGAGAGUUGUGAAUGGAACCUCCUGAGGGAACCAAAAAUGAAAAGUUUAACUUAAGUUUUAUCUAUGGGAUUAUGUUUUCUAAAUUUAUUUGAUAAAUAUGUUGUAGGAAACAAUGUGAUGGGGAACAGGACAAGAGAUUUGCAUAUGCUGUCACACCCCAUACCACAUUUAAUCCAAAAACAUCAAGGUUAGCAACCUGCCCCUCCACACAUCUAUCAAUUCCAUGUGCAUCCAUCACUGGGCAGCAGUAAAAUUUCUUACUGUUGCUAGAGGGAAUGCCACAUGCUUCGGAGGCAGUGAGUUCAGUGUGACACACACAUGCAAACACAUUUGAACUUUCUCUCACCAGCCUGGUGAGCAGCAUUUCUUGGCUCAACCUCGACUGCAGUCAGUACCAGAAAUGCCUCCAAGGGUGGAGAAUCCAAAUCUGUCUUCACUAUGUGUCACUUUUAUUCCAGGUCAGAGAGGCGACAUUCUGAGGGUCCUAAUUAAAAAGUAAUUGAAUUUAUAUUUAGUGUGUGCAGGGCACUUAUAUGCUACAGAGACAAUGAUUGCUGCAACAAACCUGGUUCCCUUUUCUCGCUCAUGAUCAAAAUAGAGUAAAUUUCCCAAACUGUCUCAUUAUAGUGCAGGAGGAGACAAAAGAAAGCAUGUAAGUCAACGGAAUGUGGCAGACGUGAUGUACACCACUUCUAAGCCUGACUCCUAAUAUGUUCCCAAGCCAUGGAAAUGCAGAGCUAUAAGACAGAAGGAGCCUGGCUUUGUUAAUGACAACCAGGACUUGCAAGAGCAACUUUGCGUGACCUAAAAGCAAAUUUUAUUCUGUUGAACACAUGAGAUUUGAGAACCUGUUAGAGCUACUGCUGUAACUAAUACAUGCCCAAGCCUCGGCAAAGCAAAUGGAAACCCAAAUUAUAUGUAAUGAAAUCUUUCCUACAACUCCAUUGCUCCAGCAUGAUGUAUUUAACAUCUUCCUACUUCAGAGAAAACAUCUCCUUUAUCACAGUUUCAUGUUGAAUCAUUCUGCAAAGAAAAUCCAGUGUUGCUGCCUAUGUCAGUUUAAACUUUUAUCAGCCUCCAAUUCCUUCAUUACCACCAAUAUUUAGAUAUGGCUAAAUUAAGUCUACAGUUCAUCUGGAACAAGAGUCACCAGAAAGAAUUUGAGAGAAGAGAAAUAAAUUUUGAGGGGUUGCAUUAGAAGAAAAAGUAAAGCCUACAUUUGGAACGGCCAAAAAGCAGAUAUAGAUCAACAAAAUAUGUAUGCUGGGCCUAGAAACAGCCCCAUGUGCAAAUGGAAACUGAGAGAAAUAUAAAUGCAAGUAAGAUAGUAUCUAUCUUCAGGGAGUAUUUCGAGAUAACUCACAGUAGGGAAAAUUAAUUGAAAUGUUUUGGUGAAGAAGCUAAAAUGCUGAUUGGGCUUGCAUGUAAGAUAUUUUAAUAACUUUGGCAGUUCUCAAAUUCUUCAGUCUUCCUCAAAUCCAAGAGAUCUAUCCCUGGGGCAAUUUUCCUCUUUUGUAUUACCAUACCCAAAAUAUUUAUUUUAUUGACAGGAUUCCAUUGACUAGAAAACAUUUUUCCUUUACAACUCUGAAGUCUUAGCUCAAAUCCUUCUCUAACAGAGCUAAAGUGAAAUACAUUAUUAGUUGAUGCCAUUGCCUGAUACCCAAGGUGCUCAAGCAGAAAAUCUUCCUAAAAAUUGAAUGUUUUAUUUUAAAAAGAAAAAAGUUCUCCAAGUUAUUAAUUCCAGGCACCUGCAAUGCUGCAAAACUCAGGCAAUACAAUAAUAUUCUAGUUUAUGUUCAUGUCAGAGAUUGCUUAGGAAACUCACGUGUUAUAGCUACUAAAAGGAACAUCUUUCCAAACCCUCAUUUUAGGCAUAAAUUCAAAGAGGAAAGUAGAAGGUCCACCUCUCCUUUUCAUUUCAUAUCAACUUCAUUAAGACAUAAUUUACAUAAAAUAAAAUUCACUCAUUUUAAUAAAAUAAUGGGGAGUUCCCUGGUGGCCUAGUGGUUAAGACUUGGCACUGUCACUGCUGCAGCCAAGGUUUGAUUUACGGUCUGGGGACUAAGAUCCCACAUCAUGUUGCAGCCAAAACAAACAAACAAACAAAAAAAAAACAAAACAAAAAAACAAUAAAUAAUAAAAUAAUGCAAUUGUAUAAGCAGCACCACAAUCAAGUUAUAGAACAUUUCCAUAACCCAAUAUGUUCUUUCAUGCCCCUUGUGGUCAAUUUUCUCCUUAGCGACUACAGACUACUCAAAUGAUUUCCACCAUUAUAAUUUUAUUUUCUCCAGAAUUUUGUAAAAGGGGAAUCAUGCAGUACAUCAUCUCUGAUGUCUGGCUUCUUUCACUCAACAUCAUGGUUUUGAGAUUCAUCCAGGCUGUUGUGUAUAUUUGCUGAGCAGAAUUUCCCUGUAUAGAUACACCACAGACUAUCUACUCAUGGACAUUUGAGUUGUUUUCAGUUUUUACCAAUUACAAACACUCUCCACCAAGAUUUUUGUGGCCCUCACUGCUUUAAUUACUGUACCUGUAGAGAAAGUCUUGAAAUCAAGUUUGAGUCUCCUGAUUCUUCUUCAUUUUCAAAUUUGUUUUAGCUAUUCAAGGUCCUGUGCAUUUCCAAUAAAUUUUAGAAUCAACUGCCCAUUUCUAUAAAAAGGCACAGUGGUAUUUUGAUUGGGUUUGCAUAGAAUCUAUACAUUAAUUUCUAGCUCUAAUUUUAAGAAAUACCAAUACGAAGGUUCCUACUCUAACCUGUCUUUUGUCUCAUGCCUCUUUUUGUCUCAUGCCUCUACCACUAUGUGUUGAGACCAGGCUCUUAAACCACCAGUGUGGCAUAUAGCAAGGAUGGUUCUGAGCAUCCAGAAGGCCAUGCCUCAUCUUCCAGCUCCCACUGUUGAUCCCAGCCAUCUUUGGAACUCUAGCACCACCCCAGCUAAACAGCCUUUAGCUUUAUCUCAGUUGGCAGCCCACACUCCUUCCUUCUACCAAAAAUACUUGACUUACCCCAACUAUGCUCCUGGCAGUUCCCUUGGGCUCUGGCUUUCUCUGCUUCCAGGACCUGAGAGUGGUUUUGCAAAUAGAUCACACCUCCUAAAUCAAUCUCACACUGAAGCAGUGAGAAUUGUGACACAUUCCACCCACACUGAGUUCCCCUCAACAUGUGGCUCAUCCAUUCAUAGUCCUUUGCUUAUGCAGUUACCUGUACCCAAGAAACUUUACCAUUACACAGUAUUCUCUUGGUCUCUUACUUUUAGUUAAAUGCACUUAGCAAACAGAAAGUAUAUGAAAACAUAAGUGUCUUUUUUUUUAGUGCCAUUUCCUAAGCAUGAAAACAUUACUUGGGGGUGGUGAAGAAGGGUGGUGGGGAGAAGUAUUACAUUUAAUCUCAUCUCCUUUAACCUGACAGUCAAAAGGAAUCAAUAAAAAGGUUUAAAAAGAGUUCACCUUGUACCUCCGGUUAGUUCAAUGCCCCAUUAGUCCACAAGUAAUGGCUUUAUACCUAUAGGACAGAGAUUUUUUUUUCCUCUUUCUUUUAAAAGAAAGAAACCUCACAAAACUAAAAUCAUUGUAAAAGAAGCAACUGGCCCUUAAUUUCUCCACCAAGAGCUCACAAUGGAAGUCCUCACUUUAACUCAGGUCCUUUCAACAAGCAUCUGACCUGACAAACCAAACAGAAAGCUUUUUCCCUCUUUAGCAUAUAACAGUGAAGAACCAUCUUGAUUCCAUAUUACAUGUUCCUUUGCCUUUGUCCUCUGUCACUUGUGCUUAGUCAUCCUGCUUCUACACCUUUUGCAAAAUGAUGCUGUCUAUAGCAUGAAAUAUACAAGAUAGCCUAUUCUUAAGGCUGUGGCCUUUAAGAGUAUUACAGCUUUAGAAAAAAAGUUGCAGAACAUAGUAAUACCAUUUGUUUCAUUGGAGGUUGACAGGAACCUGACCUAGAUGGAGGGCUUAUAAGAACAAAGGAUUUCUGCACCAAGAAGUCUGCAACAACUAACCACACCCCUGCUCCCCACUCCCCUUUCUUGUAUAAAAGGAGCCCGAAUUCUGAGAGGAGAUGGUUUUUUGAGACAUUAGCCUUCCAUCUUCUCAGUCUGUUGGCUUUCAGAUUAAAAGUUGUUAUUCCUUGACCAAUAACUUGACUCCCUAUUUAUUUGCCUGUCAUGCUGCGAGCAGAAUGAGCUUAGACUCGUUAACAAUGUGAAAACCGUAAAUACACAUAAAACAUCUCUUGAAGAUUUGUUGUUUUAACUUCUUUAUCAGUCAUAAAGUAUGAGUUGUUGCUUUUUUUUUUCUAUUUAUUGUACUUGGUAAAAUACUCAAUAGAUGGGUAGAGUGUCAUGAAAAAAUAGAAAUACCUAUCUGAAAUUAUCUGUGUCUAUUUGUUUAUUACUUACAUAUUGUCUGUCUCAACACCAAUCCUCCUUCCUCCAGUGUCAAUUCCAAAAAAUAAAAACAUUCUGUGUCCCAUCCACUCACAUCUGAAAAGUAUCUGGCCAGGAUUAGGCACUCAGUAAAUUCUAUAUUUAUUGAUUGAUUGAUUGAUCAUCUUUUUGCCUUUUCUAGGGCCGCUCCCGCAGCACAUGGAGGUUCCAAGGCUAGGGGUCUAAUCGGAGCUGUAGCCAUCGGCCUA
Molecule: long non-coding RNA, 4975 nt
Filed under: Sus scrofa (pig)
Lineage: Eukaryota; Metazoa; Chordata; Mammalia; Artiodactyla; Suidae
Description: lncRNA (ENSSSCG00040015983.1)
Source: RNAcentral